This 85-nucleotide transfer RNA is filed under the name Pseudoalteromonas sp. S2755. RNAcentral describes it as "tRNA-Leu". It matches the Rfam family "tRNA". From Rfam's summary of the family: Transfer RNA (tRNA) molecules are approximately 80 nucleotides in length. The record is from RNAcentral. Lineage: Bacteria; Pseudomonadati; Pseudomonadota; Gammaproteobacteria; Alteromonadales; Pseudoalteromonadaceae.
GCGGAAGUGGCGGAAUUGGUAGCCGCGCUGGAUUUAGGUUCCAGUAUCUUCGGAUGUGAGAGUUCAAGUCUCUCUUUCCGCACCA